GAUGAACGCUGGCGGCGUGCUUAACACAUGCAAGUCGAACGGAAAGGCCAGUGCUUGUACUGGUGCUCGAGUGGCGAACGGGUGAGUAACACGUGGGUGAUCUGCCCUGCACUUUGGGAUAAGCCUGGGAAACUGGGUCUAAUACCAGAUAGGACCCUGCCUUGGAUGGUGAGGUGGAAAGUUUUUUCGGUGUGGGAUGAGCUUGCGGCCUAUCAGCUUGUUGGUGGGGUAAUGGCCUACCAAGGCGUCGACGGGUAGCCGGCCUGAGAGAGUGUACGGCCGCAUUGGGACUGAGAUGCGGCCCAGACUCCUACGGGAGGCAGCAGUGGGGAAUAUUGCACAAUGGGCGCAAGCCUGAUGCAGCGACGCCGCGUGGGGGAUGACGGCCUUCGGGUUGUAAACUCCUUUCGCAACUGACGAAGCUUUUUGUGACGGUAGGUUGAGAAGAAGCACCGGCUAACUACGUG
Molecule: ribosomal RNA, 467 nt
Filed under: uncultured bacterium
Lineage: Bacteria
Description: partial 16S ribosomal RNA
Rfam family: Bacterial small subunit ribosomal RNA
Source: RNAcentral